GGGAACCAUGCGGGCCCCUCACCCAUACCUCACCAUAAUCUCAAAGAUGGGAAGGGAUGAGGUGUCCCCACAGGAGCCAUGGAGCAGUGCUGAUGGAGAUGGUCUUGGAUGCUAGUGGGAUGCUGGACAAAGCCCUGAUCCCCCAAGGGAUCUUGUCAUUGCAUUUGCGUGGUAGCGUUCGUGGGACCUUCUGGCACCUCAUGCCUGCCCAUUCCUGGCAAAAUGCAGGGCCGGCCCCUGACACCCAAGACCUGGGAUUCUGCCUACCAAAGAACCGCCAAGGUCUAUCCCAAUCACACUACGGGAGGACCUGUGCGUGUGGCCUGGUGCCUGCUGUGGAGACCUCCAUGCUCAGAUUUCUGUUGGGCCCUGAAUUCCCUUGUUUCCAGUGAAGCCACAGAGGCUGAAAGCUUUGUGGACACACUGCAGCCUUCCUUCACGACAGGCCAGGAUUUUUCUGGCAUCAUGAAUGCAGACCCAGCCCCGCCCAUUCUGAUAUCCCUCCCAUUGCCACAAGGUGAGGUCUGAUGGGGAAGGUGUUUGCCAUUGCUGACUUGCCUCUCUCUGCACAGAUCCCGCAGCCCAACCAAGAACCCACAUGGUGCACGGAGGGGAUUUUGGCCCACCUUCGGGAACAGGCCCCGAGCCAGGGGUCCUCAUGGCCACCCUGUGCAUCACAGACCCUCUUUAGUGACUUUCAGUGGGACAUUGUCUUGGUGAUCAUGGACUCGCCAUUGAGCCCACCAUGGGAAGAGAGUGGAUGCCUGUCGCCCCGACCGAGAUUGCACCUGGUGCGCUGAGGGGAGUUUGGCUCAGCAUCAGGAACAGCCCCCGAGCCAGGGACCAUCAUGGCCACCCUGCACAUCACAAACCCUCUCUGGUAAGAAUGUUGAGCUUGCGAAUAGAAGGCAGAGACAGGUGGAGACUGCCUUGGUUGGGUCAAUGAUGAGAACUCAUAUGGUCUCGAAGACAGAUGAUGACCUAAAAAUUAUGCUCAAUAGGAUUACGCUGAGUCCCAGUGGAGGACACUGCACUGAGGCGGCAUCCUGGAGACCCUUGUGGCCCUGGCAUAGCGCUGGCACCUGGGGCACGUAGCAACCCGUCCCUCGAGGCUCCCCAAUGGGGCUCUCCCGUGUCUCUGGGCCUCCGCGCACCUAACACGUGCUCCUGCCCUGGGGCGUUAUGUGCCCAUUACUAGUGCUUCCCGGGACUCAUCCCUGGGAACCCAGCUAAGCUCCCUCGGUGUCCUGGUGUCUUUCAGUGGGAUGUUAUCUUGGUGACCAGGGUCUCCCCAUU
This is a long non-coding RNA of Neofelis nebulosa (Clouded leopard), 1296 nucleotides long. RefSeq lists it as uncharacterized. The record is from RefSeq and is a predicted model, not a curated record. The transcript is spliced from 3 exons. Lineage: Eukaryota; Metazoa; Chordata; Mammalia; Carnivora; Felidae.